This is a long non-coding RNA of Carassius carassius (crucian carp), 1534 nucleotides long. RefSeq lists it as uncharacterized. The record is from RefSeq and is a predicted model, not a curated record. NCBI's taxonomy places the organism in Eukaryota, Metazoa, Chordata, Actinopteri, Cypriniformes, Cyprinidae. The transcript has 3 exons.
CUUGUUUUGUCUCUGUCUCUGUAUAUUGCUAAUGAGAACCUUCUGGAUUUCCUGGAUUUAAGGGACCACCUGCUGUGAAGGAAAUGAUAUACUGCUCCUUAGGCUAUCCCAGAAGGCCAAGCCCGACCACACCCAUUUUUUCAGCUUUACUGAAGCUACAGUGGGUUUGUCUAAUCUGGAGUGGGAGUAAGGGAAAGGCUCAUUUCUCCCUUAAUGCAUCUUUAAACAGCCUCCUGUUCCCCAAAACCACUUAUUAGAGAGAAUGAUGGAGAGGGAAGAACCCAGUGACCUUCAUCUGUCUGCUUCUCGUUUGGUUUUGCCCUGUGGCCAUGUGGCCCUAUUUUUCGUCCGUUCUCUGCGCUGUAAUUGAUUUCUGAGCUAGGAGACAAAAUUGGACCUACAUGUCAUCAUGGUUCUAGCUGUCUGCUGCAGACGAGCUAUCAUUAGACCAGUGCAGAAUAGAGUUCUCCUUCCUUUUCCACCUGCUGGACGUUCAUUCACAGAAGCCCAUUUGCAUAUGAACGCCAUGGCUACUGUAUUAAUGAAACAUUGCCUCCAUUGUUGCUAUGAGAACAAAAGCGGCGAUGAUGUCAUGGCGCUCCUUUCACCUCUCCACGCUGGAAGAUAAGCUGAGAGGACACAGCAGGCUGUGUGGAGUGGCUCAUUAUGAGUGAAGGCAUGGUUCCCAGCCUCUGCACUGACUGGAUGCCCACGCAGUCUCCCUGCCAACCGUUCAGCAGAAUGGUGGAAAAUGCCACAUUCAACCGAUUCAUGUCAUUGUUUAAAAGGUCUUGAAAAGGCAUGUGAUAUAGAAGCUUUUUGGCUUGGUUGCCCUGCUGAUUGCCCUGAUUAGAUGUUUUCAUUUCUUUAUAGAGUUUUCUUGCAGUUGUACAAAACUGAAUUGCUUUUGGAGGUUGCAACUUUAUGCAAAUGAGGGAUGCUGGUGUAAUGUACUGGAAGCAAAUUGGUUAUUCACUGUCAUUAGACGUUUGUAUUAAUGUUGUUUUAUUUAUUUAGGACUAUUUACUGAAUUUAUUUAGUCUAAUUUAAUGACAUUUUAUUGGUUAUUGGAUCAGAUUUUUCAUGUAUGUCUCAACUGUUUUAAUAUUUAGAUUACCUUUAUCAUCUAACACUUCUUGAAUCUCAUUUUUGAGACUUUAACUCAUUUGAACAAUCUAAUAACACUGCUAAAUGUAAUUUUUAGCAAAUCUCAAAAAGAAUAUCCAUUUUUCAUAAUGUAUAUAAUAAUGUUGUGAAAACCAUUGAUUUUAGUAUACAGUGUUUCAUUUUUAUUUAUUUAGAUGAAACCCUGGAGGUUUGUGAAGGCAUUCAUGAGUUGACGAAAAGCUAAUAAUCAGUCAAAUUAAAUGUAAAAUUAAAAUAGAUAAACAUUAUACAUUUUUACGGAAUUUCCAACAUUUUUGUGGAGAGAAGUUUACAAGGAUUUGGCAUAAGCUCUAGUGUUUGAAUGAAAGGAAAUAAUUUAAGAUAGACAGUAUUGUGAAUUGCAAAAUAAAUUAUUGUUAAAAUUAAU